AUUAUCCUGAUUUAAUGUAUAAUUUUCGCAGAAUUUUUUUAAUAGUUAAAAGGCUUGUUUGAAAAUAUAUUUUAUUUGGGUCUUUUCGUCGUUGUAGGUGCUGAGACGGCCGUAAAACCUCAAUCUUAGAACGUGACGAAUUUGUGAGCACUAAUAGAGGCAAGUAAAUAGCUACUUUCUGCAAACGGUAGAAAAUAUGCGAAUCCGAGUGGGUUCGAGACAUAAUUAUUAUCUGUUUUGUUUACUAAUUGUUGAUACAUCCGAGUGGAUUUUAUAGUUAUUAUUGACAGACAUGGUUUAUUUAUUUUGAACAUUAUUAUUAUUAUGUUCUAUUAUUGGAUAUGACUGUUGUGGUCGGAUUCCUCGGAGGAGAGGGAUUUAUUCAGUACGCGGUUUCCGAGGAGAAACGACGCGUAAUUGUAGCUCUCGCGGUUAGAGCG
RNAcentral lists this long non-coding RNA (440 nucleotides) under Ananas comosus (pineapple). RNAcentral describes it as "long non-coding RNA (ACOM_LNC017918)". Lineage: Eukaryota; Viridiplantae; Streptophyta; Magnoliopsida; Poales; Bromeliaceae. The record is from RNAcentral.